Oreochromis aureus is the source of this 388-nucleotide long non-coding RNA. RefSeq lists it as uncharacterized. The record is from RefSeq and is a predicted model, not a curated record. NCBI's taxonomy places the organism in Eukaryota, Metazoa, Chordata, Actinopteri, Cichliformes, Cichlidae. The transcript is spliced from 3 exons.
AAACAUUGUCUUAUGCCUGUGGAGAAACUUGUAGUGGACUCUGCCACCACUUGCCGAUACUUAUUAGGGUGCGACCCUAACCUGGAGACAGGAAGAAAACUGGAAAAACUUGUAGUGGACUCUGCCACCACUUGCCGAUACUUAUUAGGGUGCGACCCCAACCUGGAGACAGAUUGCCCCUUUCUUUGCCCAAUUGGGGUGAAGAGUGGAUUGCCAUGCCUUUAACGUGUGGCGCAUGGUGUUCGUUUUUAAUAGCUUUCCCGCAGCACUUAUCCUGUUUUCCACUUAAACUCGCACAAUUUUAUAGUUUUAAUGUAUUUAAUAAGGUAGAGCUUUUCAUUGUCUUGGGUGCUACUGUUACCUGCUUAGAAAGAUUUUGCUUUGUAUU